CUUCAGGUCAUUUCCAGAAAUAGUUGCUCUGCAAGUAGUUGUAACUUUCAUGUGCCCAUAGGAGGAGAUGAGUUCAGGGUCUUCCUACUCCACCAUCUUGGCC
This is a non-coding RNA of Vicugna pacos (alpaca), 103 nucleotides long. The record is from RefSeq and is a predicted model, not a curated record. NCBI's taxonomy places the organism in Eukaryota, Metazoa, Chordata, Mammalia, Artiodactyla, Camelidae.